RNAcentral lists this unclassified non-coding RNA (581 nucleotides) under Hevea brasiliensis (rubber tree). The record is from RNAcentral. Lineage: Eukaryota; Viridiplantae; Streptophyta; Magnoliopsida; Malpighiales; Euphorbiaceae.
AAACAGUCAAGUGUUAAUUGGAAAAAUUAUAAAUAAACGAAAAAAUAAUUAAUAUUUAAGUUGUUAUAAUAAUUUAAUUUAAUUUUAGUAUUACUAUAUUAUCAUUAUUCACAUAUCAAUUUAUUUACUUUGAAAUAUCAAUUAAUUAAUUGUAAUAAAAUAAAAUAAAAUAAAAUCUUAUCUUGCGUUAUCUCUUUAAGAAUUAUAACUUUCAUUCUCAGAAAUGAUUUCCUGUAACAUAACAAUCCAAACAACGCAGAGCUAAGAAAGGCUCUGACCAAAUAACAUAAUCAAAAUCGCUAGAUGCUUCAACCAACUCGUGAGCAAUCUUGUUAGCUUCUCAAAGAAUCCAACGAAGGGAGAAGUCCAUUCCAUGCUGGAUAUAUUAUUAUUCAGACAUUGUGAACAAAACACUAUACAGCUGACCUUAGCAAAAUGCAUAUUUUGUUGAGAAUUGUUGAUUAUACAGGCCUUAAUAAUUAAGGCAUAUUGUUUUUUUAUUUAUACAAAUGAAUUAAUGAUGUGGAUGAGUGGUCAUACUAGACUUGAUAAAGUUCCUAAUGAGAGUAUUAGAGAAAAGG